CAUGUGCAAAACUUAGGGGGCAGUUUUGUAGUCUUUUUUCUUUGAGGGCCAAAAUCGCAACUUUGGAAAAGUUAGGGGGCUAAAACUGCUAUCAAGCCUUAUUUUUAAACAAUUCUCAUCGAUUCGGCUUUCAUCUAUUUAUUUUAGGCUUAAUUGCACUUUUUGCCCACUAUCUUUCCAAAAGUUGCGAUUUUGGCCCUCUACCUAAUUAAAAUACAAAACAGCCUCCUAUGUAUUGGUGUAAC
This 245-nucleotide microRNA precursor is filed under the name Medicago truncatula (barrel medic). Its description in RNAcentral is "miR5249 stem-loop (mtr-MIR5249)". The record is from miRBase by way of RNAcentral. Lineage: Eukaryota; Viridiplantae; Streptophyta; Magnoliopsida; Fabales; Fabaceae.